Molecule: ribosomal RNA, 497 nt
Filed under: uncultured bacterium
Lineage: Bacteria
Description: partial 16S ribosomal RNA
Rfam family: Bacterial small subunit ribosomal RNA
Source: RNAcentral
GAUGAACGCUGGCGGCGUGCCUAAUACAUGCAAGUCGAGCGAACAGACGAGGAGCUUGCUCCUCUGACGUUAGCGGCGGACGGGUGAGUAACACGUGGAUAACCUACCUAUAAGACUGGGAUAACUUCGGGAAACCGGAGCUAAUACCGGAUAAUAUAUUGAACCGCAUGGUUCAAUAGUGAAAGACGGUUUUGCUGUCACUUAUAGAUGGAUCCGCGCCGCAUUAGCUAGUUGGUAAGGUAACGGCUUACCAAGGCAACGAUGCGUAGCCGACCUGAGAGGGUGAUCGGCCACACUGGAACUGAGACACGGUCCAGACUCCUACGGGAGGCAGCAGUAGGGAAUCUUCCGCAAUGGGUGAAAGCCUGACGGAGCAACGCCGCGUGAGUGAUGAGGGUCUUCGGAUCGUAAAACUCUGUUAUUAGGGAAGAACAAAUGUGUAAGUAACUAUGCACGUCUUGACGGUACCUAAUCAGAAAGCCACGGCUAACUACGUG